GUGAGGAAUUUUGCGCAAUGGCCGCAAGGCUGACGCAGCAACGCCGCGUGGGUGAUGAAGGCCUUCGGGUCGUAAAGCCCUGUCAGGUGGGAAGAAAGGCCUGGAGAGGAAAGGUUUCAGGUUUGACGGUACCACCAGAGGAAGCACCGGCUAACUCCGUGCCAGCAGCCGCGGUAAUACGGAGGGUGCGAGCGUUAUUCGGAAUUACUGGGCGUAAAGCGCGUGUAGGCGGGGGGACAAGUCUGAUGUGAAAGCCCUGGGCUUAACCUGGGAAGCGCAUUGGAAACUGUUUUUCUUGAGUACUGGAGAGGAAGGGGGAAUUCCCGGUGUAGAGGAGAAAUUCGUAGAGAUCGGGAGGAAUACCAGUGGCGUAGGCGCCCUUCUGGACGGUAACUGACGCUGAGACGCGAAAGCCAGGGUAGCGAACGGGAUUAGAUACCCUAGUAGUCC
Molecule: ribosomal RNA, 450 nt
Filed under: uncultured bacterium
Lineage: Bacteria
Description: partial 16S ribosomal RNA
Rfam family: Bacterial small subunit ribosomal RNA
Source: RNAcentral